RNAcentral lists this long non-coding RNA (258 nucleotides) under Panicum hallii. RNAcentral's name for it is "long non-coding RNA (PHAL_LNC000369)". The record is from RNAcentral. Lineage: Eukaryota; Viridiplantae; Streptophyta; Magnoliopsida; Poales; Poaceae.
GUCACCGAGGCUCCAGCGGACGCGCUACUGGUCGCCCUCCUCGCCUUCCCUGCCACCCUCCUCCGGUGUCGUCGUCUUCCUGCAAUUUCCGCGCUCCUUCCUGCUCCCCCCGCGGUCGCGGCUCGCGGGAACCGCCGCCACAGACCUCGUCACCGACCGGACCGGCAGCCGCGAGAGUCAGCCCCGGCCCCAUGCGCGCGCGCGCCUGAUUGGUGCUUGGCCGGCUGACCCCGAGGCCGAGGGAGGGAGAGGGCCCGG